Zingiber officinale is the source of this 257-nucleotide long non-coding RNA. RefSeq lists it as uncharacterized. Lineage: Eukaryota; Viridiplantae; Streptophyta; Magnoliopsida; Zingiberales; Zingiberaceae. The transcript is spliced from 4 exons. The record is from RefSeq and is a predicted model, not a curated record.
AUUAUUUCCAAUCACACGGCUGUAACUUUUCACCGUUGGCCCUUGUAGCUUCAAAAGACAAACGAUGAGCAAUACCGUAGAAUUCAAAAAACUGAGCAUGCUCUUCAGGUGGCAGAGGAGGAGCUUCUAAGAGUACAAUUGGAAGCAACAGCUAAGUCAAAGGAAUUAUCACAGGCUCAUGGAGCAUGGUUUCCUCCUUGGCUUGCUACUCACGCCAAUUACUAUAAGGAACUUGCAACAACUCACUGGAAGGAGCG